Molecule: long non-coding RNA, 4343 nt
Filed under: Sus scrofa (pig)
Lineage: Eukaryota; Metazoa; Chordata; Mammalia; Artiodactyla; Suidae
Description: lncRNA (ENSSSCG00035032741.1)
Source: RNAcentral
GCAUAUGGAAGAUCCUAGGCUAGGGGUCAAAUUGGAGCUGCAGCUGCUGCCUUACACCACAGCCACAGCAAUGCCAGAUCUGAGCCACAUCUGUGACCUACACAACAGCUCAUGGCAAUGCCAGAUCCUUAACCUACUGAACAAGGCCAGGGAUCAAACCCACACCUUCAUGGAUAAUAGUUGGGUUUAUAACCCACUGAGCCACAAUGGGAACUCCUAGCUGUGUGAUUUUAGACAAAUCACUCUCUCUCUCUCUGGGCCUUAGUUUCCUCUUAUAAUAAGGCUGAGCUAGAGUACCAGUUGAUAAGCAUUUUUAUUAUUAACGUCUAAGCAUUUGACUUCUCUCUGCAAAUGCACUUUGUGUGCAGAAGGCCCAAAUAUGAUACAACCCAGCAAGAAAGUGUGUCAACAACCCAAUCUUUUGCACCCCAGAUCCAUGUCAGGGCUAAUGUUUUCUUACUCUAGUUGAAGGCAGAGAACCAAAUCCACCAGCCAGAGAUGCACCGCCUCUCAAGUAAGUGGAAAGUAACUGGGUGAUUUGCAGUGACCCACAGAAGCUCAUGCCUAACAGCUGCUCUAGCAAAAUGCUUCCCUGAGCAUUAGGUCCAUGUGCUGGCAGCUAUCUGAAAGCUCAGGGAUUGUCUGGGCCCCAAGGAGACCACUGCUGUUUCUAGAGAGUUCUGUAAGGACCCCAGGUCUUUGGAAGGACCAUCUAAGGGUGUUUUUCAGGGGAGUCAAGUUCCAGGUUUUGAUGCCCUGACCCCUCCAGCCUCAGCUCCAGCCCCUGACCCAGAGCUACAGCUUUGGGACCGCGGCAGAAAGUCAAGGCCGGCAGCGAAAGGCUGGGGGCAAGAGGAACACACACCACAGUGUGAAAUGUGAGGAAGGCUCCUCCGUGUCCCUUCCCGGCUGCGACAGGCGCCAUCUGGACUUCUGUGGAACUGGCUCAGCCUCCUCUGGCUGGAACUGGCGUGAUAAGGAUCAUUUUGUCUCCUUCAGGAGCAGGGCUGGAUGCCCCGCAGUUCUCUGCAUCCCUAGAGCCCAGGGACUGUGCCAUCUGAGUCCUGAGUUAUAACAGGCAGCUAACCUCUCGGAAUAAAGUUUGGGCCCUGUGCACCUGGGAUUCUACUUACACAGGGCUCAGGCUGACCCAAAACUCAGAGGAGGUGGGCACAGAGGGACUGGAGUCACGAGGAGGGCAAGACAGAUGCACAGGGCCCUUCAGGAGGAUGCCUGCCCAGCCCAAGGCUUCUCCUGGGACAGAAGCCGGCGUUCCACACCUCCCUGACUUUCCCGCCCAUCUGCAGGAUGGAGAGCCAGGGAUCUGGCUGAACGACCCAUUGGGGCCCAAGCCCCCACUCCCGCCUGGUCACAUCAGUCUUGGGGGAGGGGGAGGAGACCUGGGUGCAUGUCCCAGUUGGGUCGCUUUCUCAUUGCAAGGCUAGUCACAUGCCUUCCCUGGGUCUCAGGUUCACUUUCUUAGAGGGUAUUGGAUUAGCUACUUUUCGUCUCUGCCUGGCCUCUCAGUGUCUCUAGAUCUAGACUCUAAGAGCCUUGACAGGGUUCUGCUUCCAGAGCAAGAGGAAGGGAGUGAGCCACAACGGGGAGGGGUGUGGACCUUGGGAUCAGACUGCCGGAGGUUAAAUCCUGACUCUCCCUUCCUGACUGUUGGGAGACUCUCAGCCUCAGUUUUCAUGCUGGCAAAAUGGAGACAGUUACUCCAUAAUGCUAUCAUGAGGAAGGCAAGGGAGAAACCCCAUGAAGCCCAGGACCUGACAUGGGAAACUUUCAACAAUCCCUAGCUUAUUAUUUUGUGUUACUCUAGUCUACUACGGUGUCAAGAUGGUAGCAGAUAUUGGCUAAAAUUAUUUCCAGAUAGAAACAUCAUACCUUACCUACCACAGAUUCAACUAUCCUACAGGCCAGUCCACGUCCCCUGUAAAGGUCACUCAUUCAUUCAAUAGGAAUCAAUCAAUGUUCAGUGCAUUUCUUAGGUGGGGCAUCCGGGACUGGGGAUGCAAAGAUGUCAAGAUCUUACUUUGUUUCUUUUUGUCUUUUUAGGGCAAUGCCCACAGCAUUACAGGCUGGGGGUCCAAUUGGAGCUACAGCUGCCGGCCUACGCCACAGCCACAGUAACAUCAGAUCCGAGCCACGUCUGCAACCUACACCACAGCUCACGGCAAUGCUGGAUCCUUAACUCACUGAGUAAGGCCAGGGAUCAAACACUAGUCAGAUUCGUUACCACUGAGCCAUGACCGGAACUCUAAGUUUUGGGUUUUUUCACUUUUUUAAAUUUUUUGUCUUUUCUAGGGCCACUCCCACAGCAUAUGGAUGUUCCCAGGCUAGGGGUCCAAUAGGAGCUACAGCUGCCAGCCUACACCACAGCCACAGCAACACCAGAUCCUUAACCCCCUGAGCGAGGCCAGAGAUUGAACCCUCAACCUGGUUCCUGGUUGGAUUCAUUAACCACUGAGCCAUGACGGGAACUCUGACAGUUUAGUAUUUUGAAGAGAAGGAAAAACACAUACUUGUGAAGCAACGUAAAGCGAAUUUCAGGGCCUCCUAUGUUCCCCAGUGGUAACCAAUUUGCACAUCUGUGAUUAGUUCUGAUCAUUUUGUGCCAAGGACUGGAUCUAGGGCAUUUCAUGCCAGGCCUCACUCAGCCUCGUGAGGCAGUCACUGAUGUAAACCCCAUUUCACAGAAAAAGGAACUAGUCUUGGUGACAGUCAGGAACUUCUCAAAAGUCACACAGGUGGCAAGAGGCAGAGGUCUGUCCUCUCUCACAGCGCCCCACCAUCUCUGUUUGCUGGGGCUGCCUUUAUAAAGUACUACAGUUGGGUGACAUAAACAAGAGAAAUUGCUUAUCUCACAGUUCUGGAGGCUGGAAGUCCAAGGUCAAGGUGUCAGUGGGGGUGGUUUCCUCAGAGGCUGGGAGGAAGAAUCUGCUCUGUGCUGGGGAGGAGGGUCCCACGGUGCCCCUGCCACUCUGCCCAUUGGGAUGGACCAGCUGGCACGAUGUGGGGAGCAGGCAGAGAUGGCAGAUCACCACUGCAUGUCAGAGCGUAACUGCAACAAGGAUGGCAAAGCAAUGGCUCCUUACCGCACUGAGUGAAGCAUUUGGUGUGCAAACCUCUUUGCUGUGCACAGCAACCCUAAGGAUAGGCGUUACCUUGUCAUUUCCUAGAAGAAAAACCCUGGAUUCCUAGAGAUCAGGUUCUUGUCCAGAGCCACGGACCCCGAGGCUUCACCAACACAGGGUCUGGCAUUUAUAAGAUAUUGGCCAGUAUCAUUUUACUACAUGCCUCCUUUCCCAUGGAUCUUUCGGGUUAAAAUAACACCCUUUCCCCCUCACCUCUCUUCUGGUUGCUUUGGAACCCUGCCUGGGCCUGAUUAGCUCUUAGCCAGGGGCAGUGGAUGAAGCUGGUGAGUUCCAAGGACAGUAGUAGCCACAGGCGGUGUGCCUUUGGAACAAAGCUGGGCGGGGCCUUGGAAGGGGAAGCCAGGGAAGCCGGCCCACAAGGGCCCGCCCUGUGCGGCUUCCCUCCCUGAGCUGUAGGACCUGCACACGCUCCGCUCCCUGAGCAGCAAUGGAAGUGAGCUCAAGGUUUGUUCUGGAGGUUGCUCUUGACAUUGCUGUAGAAAACGCCAUUGUUUUAAUUGUCCCAGAAAGUGGGCUGGGACAGCCUUUUCCCAGGGGUAAGUCCUUGAGUAGAGGCAGGGCCGGGGCUGGAGGGACCCAAGCCAGGGCCCUCUGGCUGCCUCUUGGGCUCUCUAAAUGUUUUUUUUCUGAUUAUAAAAGUUACUUUACCAGUGAUUAUUUUUCAAAAUCUACAAAAACGUGUAAAAUACAAAGCAACAGUUCUCACAAUCCUAGCCAUGGGUAUCCAGCUUUCCCCAGUUUUUCUAUUCACAAACAUUAUAUACAAAUAGCAUCAAAAAAAGUAUCAUUUCCUCCUCCAUCUGCUUUUGCCACUUAAUGAUAUGGGCACUUCAUCUUCCGUCUAUAAAGAAUGCCAUUCUAUUUAAAGGCCGUAUAGAGUUUGAUUGUUUCACUACAUGAAAAAGCAUAACUUAUUUAACUAGUUGUAUAGUCUUUUAUGUCGUUUCCUAUUUGUAAUUCUUACUAACCACAAUGAAAUAAAAAUUCUUGUUUCAAUUAUUCCAUUCCUUUGUCUUCUUGGAAUUAAGUCUUAUAAGUGUAGUUGCUAUAUAUCUGGAAAAAUGAAAACUGUAAUUUGAAAAGAUACAUGCACCCCAAUAUUCACUGCAGCACUAUUUAUAACAGCAAAGACAUGGAAGAAACUUAAAUGUCCGCUAAUACAGGAAUGGAUAAAGAUGUGGU